GUUCAGUGGCUUUUCGAUCGAUAGAAUUACAUCAAAGAUACUUAAUUGGCGGUGCAACAAUUUAGCACAGCCCGCGGAUGGGAAAGGUGCAACAUGAAGGCUCAUAACCAACUGGACUGGUGUUAAACUAUUAGUUUACAAUGGAACAUACCACCAACAGAGUGCCAGGCUUCAAGUAUCUGAGAAACGCAUCAGAAUGCCACGGCCUUGUACACCAGAGUGUUCCGUUUGGAUUCCGAGUUUCCCUGCAGCAGCGCUCAAAUCGAGAAUUUUAAAAACAUUGAUCCCAGAAGAAGAACAAACUGUCCCUUUCACCAACAACAACACGCACUUGUAUGGCACCUUCAAUGCAGUUCAACAUCCUUCAGUGCCUUGCAAGAAUAGAGUCAGACACAAAAUUAACGUUGCUCCAAAGAAAGAGGGGCUGAUAUUCAGCAGCAAGUUCUUCUUGAAGAUGAGGACUUCAGGUGAAAUAUUGGUCUAACCUGGGGUUAG
Stegostoma tigrinum is the source of this 495-nucleotide long non-coding RNA. RefSeq lists it as uncharacterized. Lineage: Eukaryota; Metazoa; Chordata; Chondrichthyes; Orectolobiformes; Stegostomatidae. The record is from RefSeq and is a predicted model, not a curated record. The transcript has 3 exons.